RNAcentral lists this unclassified non-coding RNA (1642 nucleotides) under Hevea brasiliensis (rubber tree). Lineage: Eukaryota; Viridiplantae; Streptophyta; Magnoliopsida; Malpighiales; Euphorbiaceae. The record is from RNAcentral.
CACCCCUCCACCCAUCUCUCUCUCUCUGCCCAUAAACCCAUCACUCCAUUACUCCAUUACUCCAUUGCAGAGUACAGACAUCCUCCUCUCAGACACACCUCGUCAUUCUAGUUCAGAGAAAACCACUUCUUACUACCUCUGUAAGAAUAGAAACAGACCACAAUAUACAUAUUUUUUCCCAUUAUACUUAGGAAAGGAGAAACAUGGAUGUGUUGUUUCUUUCACUCUGUCUCCUUCUCGCCAUUUUCUCCACCGUCAGCUCCUGCCCGGCUUCCGACUUGCAGGCCUUAUUAGCCUUCAAAUCCUCAUUAAACGAGCCUUACUUGGGCAUCUUCAAUACAUGGACAGGCACCGACUGCUCCAAGUGGUAUGGCAUCAGCUGUGACCCAACCACCGGCCGAGUCGCUGACAUUAACCUGCGCGGUGAAUCCGAAGACCCCAUCUUCGAGAAGACUGGCCGAUCCGGUUACAUGACCGGUUUCAUCAACCCUUCAAUAUGCAAGCUCGAUAGUCUCACUACUUUAACCAUAGCAGACUGGAAAGGUAUUUCCGGGCAGAUCCCGGAAUGUGUAGUUUCUUUGAAGUCUCUUCGAAUUCUUGAUCUUGUCGGGAAUAAAAUUUCCGGUGGGAUCCCGACGGAGAUUGGAAACCUGCAGAGACUCACCGUGUUAAAUCUUGCCGACAAUGAGAUAUCUGGAGCGAUUCCAGCUUCCUUAACCAAGAUGGGGAGUCUCAAGCAUUUGGAUUUAAGCAACAACCAAGUGUCCGGUGAGCUGCCAGCUGAUUUCGGUAGCUUGAAAAUGCUGAGUCGGGCCUUACUGAGCAGAAACCAACUCACUGGGUCAAUUCCCAGCUCCAUAGCCAAGAUGAAUCGCCUUGCAGACUUGGAUUUGUCCAGGAACCGGAUAUCCGGCUGGCUACCUUCCUGGUUAGGCAACAUGCUGGUUCUCUCUACCCUUAACUUGGAUAGCAACAUGAUAUCAGGCGAAAUACCAUCAUCUUUAUUGAGCUGUACCGGUUUGGGUAUCUUGAAUCUAAGCCGAAACUCUAUAGAGGGGAAAAUACCAGAUGUUUUCGGUGCAAAAUCUUAUUUCAUGGCACUUGACUUAUCAUACAACAAUUUGAAGGGUCCGAUACCCGGUUCAUUAUCGUCGGCAAAAUAUAUCGGGCAUUUGGAUUUGAGCCACAACCAUUUAUGUGGGCCCAUUCCGGCGGGAUCACCGUUCGAUCAGCAACAAGGGUCCUCGUUUUCUAACAAUGAUUGUCUUUGUGGAAACCCGUUGAGGACUUGCUAAUGCGUAUCGGCCGACAACAGCAAAUAACGGUUUGAUUAAGAAGUGUCAAGUGUUUUUAAGGUGACAGUGAUUGAGUGAUUUGUGGGAUUUAUAGAUUUGAUUAAUGUUAAUUUAAUGUAAUAGUAUGAAUAGACUUGUGAGUUAAUUAUAAGUCGAAAUGGACAAAUAUCAGGCUGUUGCAUGCAUGUGGAAAACUGUAUAAGCUAUGAUACAAAUUAUGAGAUUAGAAGAUAAGGUUGCCUAUGCAUAUAAAUGCAAUGGGCAAUUGGGUAUUGUUGAAAUAAUUGUAAAAAUGUAAGAAAAAAAAUAAAAUUACAUAUUAUAUAAUCGAUUUUUUUUAAUGCUUA